This 349-nucleotide unclassified non-coding RNA is filed under the name Hevea brasiliensis (rubber tree). The record is from RNAcentral. Lineage: Eukaryota; Viridiplantae; Streptophyta; Magnoliopsida; Malpighiales; Euphorbiaceae.
GUUGAGGAAAGGCAUAUCAAAGCGUAAACUAAUGCUCGACCUCAACUUAAUUAUGAAGCGUGGCAAAAUCGCUAGUAAAGCGGCUAUACAAAACCUCAUGUUCCACCACAUGACUCACCAAUUUUCGUUCGCGGCCACGACUCACCGUGGCGGUCGUGAUAAAAAUUUACCCUUCUCUCCUCAACACAACGAGUAUGAAUUUAGUUGUAGCAACACCCCGAAUUUCCAACUCCCUUCUUUCAACUUCAACAAGAAAAAUAAAAAUAAAUAUUUUUUCUCAAAGUCGCAGUCGCAGAUGUAUGAUACGUCUGGGAUGGCGACUCAUGAGGAUGAUGUGAUUGUUGUGAAU